UUCCUAAACAAGGCAAUGGGCUACGGCACCAACAGGAAGCGCCUGCGCAGAACAGCUGCAGCGCUGCGAGCGAAACAGGAAGCAAAGAAGAAGGACUUCCGGUGGUCAAAGGUAACGUUCGUAUUUAAAAACAUGGAUCCCAAAAAAGUGGAUGAAGGGAAGAUGAGUGGUGAUGGAGACAUUGGAUCUGUCAUGGGAUUUUCUGGGUUUGGUAAGAAAGCCCGCACCUUUGACUUUGAUGCCAUUUUUGAACAGACGCGACGAACAGCAAUCGAGAGAAGUCAGCGUGUAUUAGAGGAGAGGCAGAAGGAGACUCAGAUGGAAGAGGAUGGGGAAAGCUCCAAGUCAGUCAAACCGUCAGUCCACAGUCAGAAAGAAAAAGUUGCAGCUGCUUCUUCGAGAGUACAUGAGAGUGACAGUAGCAGUGGAUCUGACUCUGACUCAGACUCAGACUCAGAGCUUAUUGGACCCCCAGUGCCUCCUCAGCACGCAGCCCAGGAGGAUGAAGAUGAGCUUGUGGGACCACCUCUUCCUCCAGGUUACUCAGGCAGCACAGCUCAUAGCGAUGAUGAUGACGAAGAGGAGGCACAAGAUGACGACGAUGAUGAUAAUCCAGUGAAGAAGAUUCCAGACACUCAUGAGAUCACUCUGCAGCACGGGACCAAGACGGUAUCAGCUCUUGGCCUAGACCCCUCUGGAGCCCGUCUGGUGACUGGUGGAUAUGAUUAUGAUGUGCGUUUCUGGGAUUUUGCCGGGAUGGACCAGGCUCUGCAGGCCUUCAGAUCCCUGCAGCCCUGUGAGUGUCAUCAGAUCAAGUCCUUGCAGUACAGCAUCACUGGGGAUGUCAUCCUGGUCGUCUCUGGCAAUGCUCAGGCCAAGGUGUUGGACCGUGACGGCUUCAACGUCAUGGAGUGUGUGAAGGGAGACCAGUACAUUGUGGAUAUGGCUAACACCAAGGGCCACACAGCAAUGCUGAAUUGCGGCUGCUGGCAUCCGAAGAUUAAAGAAGAGUUCAUGACCUGCUCCAAUGAUGGCACCGUGCGCACCUGGGACCUGAACUCAGAGAAGAAGCACAAGUCGGUGUUCAAACCGCGCUCGUUGCAGGGAAAGAAGGUCACCCCCACAUGCUGCACCUACAGCCGUGAUGGGAAGCUCAUCGCAGCAGGCUGCCAAGAUGGCACCAUCCAGAUCUGGGACAGAAACCUCAGCGUUCACACAAAGUUUCACUGUCGACAAGCCCACACUCCAGGUUCAGACACCUCCUGCCUCUCCUUCUCUUAUGAUGGCAUGACUCUCGCUUCACGUGGAGGUGAUGACACUCUGAAGACGUGGGAUAUACGCAACUUCAGAAAGCCUGUGAAUGUAGCCACUGGACUGACCAACUACUUUUCCAUGACUGACUGCUGUUUCAGCCCUGAUGACAAGCUUCUUGUAACGGGGACUUCAGUGAAGAAAGAUGAGGGAAAUGGGAAGCUGGUUUUCUUUGACCGAGGUUCGUUUCAGAGGGUCUACGAAAUAGAAGUCACCAAUGCAAGUGUUGUUCGCUGCUUGUGGCACCCAAAACUUAACCAGAUAAUGGUGGGAACUGGGAACGGACUGGCCAAAGUAUACUAUGACCCAGUUAAAAGCCACAGAGGGGCUAAGCUGUGUGUAGUGAAGAGCCAACGCAAGGAGAAACAAGCAGAGACGCUAACACAAGAUUACAUCAUCACACCUCAUGCCUUACCCAUGUUCAGAGAGGCCCGACAGCGGAGUACACGGAAACAGCUGGAGAAGGACAGACUUGACCCAAAGAAAUCCCACAAACCCGAGCCUCCUGUGUCCGGACCAGGUCGAGGAGGCAGAGUGGCAGCUCAUGGUGGGACUCUGUCUUCAUUCAUUGUGAAGAACAUUGCAUUAGAUAAAACGGACGACAGUAACCCGCGAGAGGCCAUCCUACGCCACGCCAAGGACGCGUCAGAAAACCCUUACUGGGUUGCCCCGGCAUACACACAGACCCAGCCAGAGCCUGUGUUUGCGGAGGAAUCGGAGGAGGAUGAGGAAGCUGACAAAGAACCGGAGUGGAAGAAACGCAAGAUCUGAUAGACAGCAGCUCGUUUUAUACAGGACAGCAGACAGGGUGGGCUAGAACACAGAGGUGCAGUGGCCAGAAAAUGAAGGUGAGACAAAGACAUACCAGAAGAAGAAAUAUGGAAGCAGUGAAUCAGCGAGUGAUGUAUUAAAGAGUAGAUUGGCUUCAUGGGGAGAAGCUGACGUCAAACCCUUCAAGAGAAGAGUCGUCAGCCAGCAGCAGGAGGUGAGGACUGAUUGCAGUUUGAUUAAAGUGGGACAGUUGAGCACAGAGAAAGAGAAGCUCUGCAUGGAGCUGAAACCAUGGCCCUCAGGUGGAGGCAUUUAAAUUCAGACCUAUUAAAGGCUCAGUUCACUCAAAUUACAAAGAAACAUUCUCUCACUUACAGUUCUUCUACUGUAUAUGCCCACUGUAUAAAGCCAGUGAUUGAUGGUUUUAGUGCUGCUCCAAGCUAAAAAAUUGAGUUACAGUUUGAAAAUUUCGACACCAGAGACCUUGUUGCAUUCAGUUUUCAUUGGAGCAUCUUUGCACCUCAACAACUACCAAAAUUUUUAUUCCCACUGUAUCCAUGUGAGAUAAAAUUAGAUAGGACUUGGCCAGAAUAAACCGAAUUUGAAGAUUUCAGGUCUAGGUUGGAGUCACACUGGGUAAUGUACUCAGUAUGUUUCUUACUGUCAACAUGACAUGUCUCAUGAAAGCAACAAAAUUAAUAUUUCAGUCACUACUUUCCAACUUUCUUACCUCUGUCACAAACCCAUUGGUUCCUAGAGUCAAAAAAUAGAAUAUAGGCUAAAAAAAAUGCCCUCAAAACAGCAGAACUUAGUUUAUAGCAAAUGUUAAAACUCAGAGAAAAUGGUACAUUUUUUUUAAACUAUCUUCACCUGUAGAUUUGACGAAAUAGUGAGCAUUGAUAGUAAGAGGAUGGUGUGUGUGUGAGGUUUCCACAUGUCAGCUAAUGAAAAAGUGUGGUUCCCUGAUGUGGUUUUGGACAUGACGUACGUGUCACAAACAAAUAAGCUACUAUAUAUCAGGCUUUGGCUGCACAGAUAAUACUGUUAGGGGAGAUCAGAUCAUUGUUGGUGUUGGACUUAUGGGAUUUGCUGACAACAUGAAAAAUACAAAAUAUCGCCACACUUAAUCCUUUGAGUCACACAAAUGAGGACGAAAACAAAUUGUUUUGGCAGAUCAGCUUUGCGCAGCCAAGCCCCUCUUAUAUAUUGAGUUUUUUGGCCUCAGCAGUGAAGGGACUUGGCCUCUUGACAGAAAGAAAUGCUUAAAUGCUAUGUUACUUUAUUGGUCAGUAUUCUGAAGCCUGACAGACUUUAAAAAUGAAUUACAAAGACUUGGGAGUUGCUAUUACAAGUAGACAAGACCUGGACUUUUCCCAGGAGACAUGAAAACAAGUUGUGUAGUACCUCAGCUGCACACUGUGUCAUGACUCACUGUCUGUACCUCUGCCAUUUUCUCAUCAGCAUUUACAUAUCUUCUUUGCACAGUGGAAACAUUCUUGAGCGCCAUGAUUUACAACUUAGUGGCGCUUUACUGCUGGCUUUUGUUUACUGUACGACCCCCGGGCUCCCGUUCAAGAAUGCAGAACAGAACGAGACGCCACACUGCGGAGGCCAUCUCUCAAGCCAUCCUCGCGAUUCUCCAUUUAACCCAAAUUUGCAUCG
This is an RNA transcript of Amphiprion ocellaris (clown anemonefish), 3744 nucleotides long. It is a transcript of the gene named WD repeat-containing protein 70, with no coding region annotated. The record is from RefSeq and is a predicted model, not a curated record. The transcript is spliced from 19 exons. Lineage: Eukaryota; Metazoa; Chordata; Actinopteri; Pomacentridae.